Molecule: ribosomal RNA, 525 nt
Filed under: uncultured bacterium
Lineage: Bacteria
Description: partial 16S ribosomal RNA
Rfam family: Bacterial small subunit ribosomal RNA
Source: RNAcentral
ACUCAAAUGAAUUGACGGGGACUUGCACAAGCGGUGGACCAUGUGGUUUAAUUCGACGAUAAACGAAGAACCUUACCAGGGUUUGAAACCUAGCUGAAGACAUGUGGAAACAUGUGUCGUCGCAAGACAGCUAGGCAGGUGAUGCAUGGCCGUCGUCAGUUCGUGGUUUGAAUUGUUCCCUUCAGUGGGGUAACGAACGCAACCCUCGUUGCCUGUUAUAUAUGUCAGGCGAGACUGCCCACGACAAAGCGCAUAGAUUGAUUCAGUUCAAUUGUGCUCUGUGUCGUGGGAGGAAGGUGAGGAUGACGCCAGGUCAGCAUGUCCCUCUGAUACCCUGGGCUACACACGUGGUACAAUGCCAGCUACAACGAGGCGCAAUGUCGUAAGACGGAGCAAAUCUUUAUAAAAGUUGGCCCAGUUCGGAUUGAGGUCUGCAACUCGACCUCAUGAAGUUGGAAUCGCUAGUAAUCGCGGGUCAGCCACACCGCGGUGAAUACGUUCUCAAGUCUUGUACACACCGCCCGU